This 473-nucleotide ribosomal RNA is filed under the name uncultured bacterium. RNAcentral describes it as "bacterial SSU rRNA". It matches the Rfam family "Bacterial small subunit ribosomal RNA", at positions 335 to 799 of the family's 1533-position model. The record is from RNAcentral.
ACUCCUACGGGAGGCAGCAGUGAGGAAUAUUGGUCAAUGGACGCAAGUCUGAACCAGCCAUGCCGCGUGAAGGAUGAAGGCCUUCUGGGUUGUAAACUUCUUUUAUCAGGGAAGAAAAUUAACGGUUUCUACUGUAACCGACGGUACCUGAGGAAUAAGCACCGGCUAACUCCGUGCCAGCAGCCGCGGUAAUACGGAGGGGUGCAAGCGUUAUCCGGAUUCACUGGGUUUAAAGGGGUGUGUAGGCGGGGCUAUUAAGUCAGUGGUGAAAUCUCCGGGGCUCAACCCGGAAACUGCCAUUGAUACUAUUAGUCUUGAAUUUUGUUGAGGUAGGCGGAAUAUAUCAUGUAGCGGUGAAAUGCAUAGAUAUGAUAUAGAACACCGAUUGCGAAGGCAGCUUACUAAGCAAAUAUUGACGCUGAGGCACGAAAGCGUGGGGAUCAAACAGGAUUAGAUACCCUGGUAGCACAGAG